Molecule: non-coding RNA, 29 nt
Filed under: Homo sapiens (human)
Lineage: Eukaryota; Metazoa; Chordata; Mammalia; Primates; Hominidae
Source: RNAcentral
UAUUGGACUGAACAAAGGGGGGCAAACAC